This 24-nucleotide non-coding RNA is filed under the name Arabidopsis thaliana (thale cress). Lineage: Eukaryota; Viridiplantae; Streptophyta; Magnoliopsida; Brassicales; Brassicaceae. The record is from RNAcentral.
AGGUCUUUGGUUCGAGGAACGCCA